CUCAGACAGCCAGGAUGUUGGCUUAGAAGCAGCCAUCAUUUAAAGAAAGCGUAAUAGCUCACUGGUCGAGUCGGCCUGCGCGGAAGAUGUAACGGGGCUAAACUAUGCACCGAAGCUGCGGCAGCGAACGUAUCACUUAAACUGAUUAAGUGAUACUCAAAUGUAUCAAAACGAUUGACGGAGCGAAGCGACGUCAAUGCGUCCAACAAAGUCGAGGCGGAAACGUCAGGCAGUCAGUUUAAGGAUACGUUCGUUGGGUAGGGGAGCGUUCUGUAAGCCUGUGAAGGUGUACUGUGAGGUAUGCUGGAGGUAUCAGAAGUGCGAAUGCUGACAUAAGUAACGAUAAUGCGGGUGAAAAACCCGCACGCCGGAAGACCAAGGGUUCCUGUCCAACGUUAAUCGGGGCAGGGUGAGUCGACCCCUAAGGCGAGGCAGAAAUGCGUAGUCGAUGGGAAACGGGUUAAUAUUCCCGUACUGGUGAUAAUUGCGAUGGGGGGACGGAGAAGGCUAGGCUAUCCGGGCGACGGUUGUCCCGGUUUAAGAAUGUAGGCAGGUGAAUUAGGCAAAUCCGGUUCACUAUAUGCUGAGGUUCGAUGACGAGUCACUACGGUGAUGAAGUAGCUCAUGCCCCGCUUCCAGGAAAAGCCUCUAAGCUCUAGAUUAUCAUUAAUCGUACCCCAAACCGACACAGGUGGUCAGGUAGAGAA
RNAcentral lists this ribosomal RNA (707 nucleotides) under Providencia huaxiensis. Its description in RNAcentral is "partial 23S ribosomal RNA". It matches the Rfam family "Bacterial large subunit ribosomal RNA", at positions 1084 to 1678 of the family's 2925-position model. The record is from RNAcentral. Lineage: Bacteria; Pseudomonadati; Pseudomonadota; Gammaproteobacteria; Enterobacterales; Morganellaceae.